ACGCACGCUGGCGGCGUGCUUAACACAUGCAAGUCGAACGGAAAGGCCCAGCUUGCUGGGUGCUCGAGUGGCGAACGGGUGAGUAACACGUGGGUGAUCUGCCCCUAACUUCGGGAUAAGCUUGGGAAACUGGGUCUAAUACCGGAUAGGACAAUCGUUUAGUGUCGGUUGUGGAAAGUUUUUUCGGUUAGGGAUGAGCCCGCGGCCUAUCAGCUUGUUGGUGGGGUAAUGGCCUACCAAGGCGUCGACGGGUAGCCGGCCUGAGAGGGUGGACGGCCACAUUGGGACUGAGAUACGGCCCAGACUCCUACGGGAGGCAGCAGUGGGGAAUAUUGCACAAUGGGCGCAAGCCUGAUGCAGCGACGCCGCGUGGGGGAUGACGGCCUUCGGGUUGUAAACCUCUUUCGACAGGGACGAAGCUUUGGUGACGGUACCUGUAUAAGAAGCACCGGCUAACUACGUG
This 463-nucleotide ribosomal RNA is filed under the name uncultured bacterium. Its description in RNAcentral is "partial 16S ribosomal RNA". It matches the Rfam family "Bacterial small subunit ribosomal RNA", at positions 29 to 507 of the family's 1533-position model. The record is from RNAcentral.